GGUGUUUUUGUUCACUGAGUCAACCAAUAUUUGAGGACCUAUGAUGUGCCAGAGCCUGAGCGUGGCCUUGGAGAAGGGUUUGGUUCUGUCACUCAUCGGGUUCCUCCAGAAGCAGUCUUCAAGCCAAGAAUUGAGCAUAAGUGGUUUGCUAAUACCCAGCCCCAGAAGAAGAAACCAGUAAGGGCAUAGAAGAAGCAGACUGAGGAGAGGGAAGAACCUAAGAGAGAUUGUUUAUUUACGAAGGAUAACGCGGCCUCCUGUAUCAUCUCAGUUCCCACAGUAAAAAAUAAUCAUGCUGCUCUGUGAAAAACUGGACAGUUGCUGAAUAUAGAAAGAGGCCCAGUAGGCUACACUUGUAACAUGUCUAUUAAAAAUCUAUAAAUGGCUUCUGAGGAAAAAAAGUUCUGGGCAGAAGUUCUUAACUGUUCUUAUGCCAUUGACCCCUUUGAAGGUCUGGUGAAGACUGUAAUCCUUUCUGAGAAUAACACUUCUAUAUGCGUAAAAGUAAGAUUACAGUGGUAACCACUUACAUUGAAACACAGCUAUUGAAAUAGUAAAAAGAAAAUUCUGAUCUAGAAAUAGAGGUGUUUAUUAACAAGUUAAGGGAAAAAAAUCUAAUGGUGGUUCUAAUAACUAUCAGAAGUUGAAAAGCGAUGAGCGUAAAUGAUAUUUCAAGAUUAUCCAACUGUUAUUGUGACAAGAAAAUGUCUAUUAUUCCUAUUAGUAGAAAUAUGGUUCUGUUAAAUAUGCUUGUCGUUCAUUGCCUGAAGGAAAUGAUAAAUUCCAAUUAGAAGUUAGUGAAAAUGAAUAUGUAAUUUCUUUUCCAUUUAAAUUCACAGACCCCUCCCUGAAUUCUAUCCUAAAGUUACUGUAAACUACCAAAGGAGUUGGUUCCUUCAGAUGUAUUCAUACAGAUAUCUCCCUCUCCAUAUCACACUGUAGAAGAUUUCAGUACUGAAGUCAAAAAACCAAAAAAAAAAAAAAAAAAAAAAGAAAAAAAAAUCAGAACUCUUUACCCCUCCCCCCCUUCCAGAUGCAUUGUUGACUGGGUAUGAAUGCUGCAGAAGCAGCUGCAGAGGGUUUGGAAGCUGACCCCGGAGGGGUCUGGCUGGAGCCCCUGCCCCCUCCAAGGCACAGGCCUGUAGAGAAAGGGGUCACACAUUUCCUUUGAACUAAUGUCAUCAGCCAGGGUAUGAAGGGACCUCCCUCCACUCUAGGUUAGAGCAAGGUUGAGGAGGAAAAAAUGGAGCACAAACUAGGGAAUAAAAUGAGAAAAAAGGAACAAGAGGAGCAAAAGAAUCUGGAAACUUCAGACUUGGAACAGAAUGUAAAAAAUGAUCAGUUUUAACUCCUACCUUUUACUGAAACCCUACGAUAGCCAACCUUUGCUUGCCCACUCUUAUUAGAGACUUGUCUUUGCGAAAGCUCUUUUCAUUUUGCCUGGUUCACAUGAUUAGUAAGCCCCUUCUUAUAUCAAGACUCUUUUCUUGAAACUUUAGCUUGGAAUAUCUAGGUGGUUUAUUCCCACUUCCCAAAUUCUGAUAACCUCCUGCUGUUUUCUUUGUUCUUUCACUUUGGAGACUGACUUAAUAAAAAGGUCAGUAGAUAAACAGAAUACCUUCAUUUUACCAUUGCCAGUUUGGCAGUUUUCAAGAGCACUUUUAAAUUUAAAAUAAGAAUUUCCAAAGAGGAAAACUGGUCAACUGUAAAACCACUAAUUUUGUGAAUUUUCCAAGUUAGGAAAACAUACCUGGAGAUGUCUGUAAAUGAUUAAAUGUGGAAUCUGAGCUGUAUGAAACCUACAUCAAAGCACUAAAUUAUGCCGGUUUAAGAGAAGAAGUUAUUCUUUUGGUUUUUCUCCUCCGUCCACAUUUGACUAGUUUGGUAAAGGAAAUAUGCAUUUUAAACAUGUUUUCCAAUACACUCAAUUACAUAAUUAAAGUCUGCAGAAAAACAUUAAUGUGGUCAGGUGUAUUAAAUAAAGAUGGAAUUCGCUUAACUAAAACACUUAAAAAAAAAGUUCUGCAAAUUCAUAUCAUUUGUAUAAUACAUGCAGAAUUGUAUGACCGUAAGUACCUGUAAGUAUGGCUUCCUAUUUUAAGUUAAUCUAUCUUUUUAAAAAAUGUGAGCAUUGUACAUUUGCCCAAGUAACAUAAAAUGCCCAUCAGCAUGCCUGUCAGAUGGAAAUUGUUGUGCUGUGUUGCUUAUUAUAAAAACAAAUAGCACAUUGAUCUUUUUUUCUCAGUUUCUUUCAGUUCAUGUGCUACCGAAGUGAGCACUGAGUACGUUUGUUUUAGACUCUGAGUUGUUUGGUGCAGAACAGUCCUGUUUACGAUUGUGCUGUAAGAGUGAAAACAAAAUAGUUCUAUUCAAGAAGUUAAACCCUCCCAUAGCGUGUACUUUUCAUGCAGCUGAAGAAUAUGUGACCAAACUAAAAGAGUAAACCAUGCUGGGCACUGUAGAAAUAUCAAGUCUUGGUGAUGAUAAAGUAUACAUGAAGACCUCCUCCCCCUCCCCCAGUGAAUUUCCUUUAUACUCUCCAUACCUCCAUG
Mustela lutreola (European mink) is the source of this 2552-nucleotide long non-coding RNA. RefSeq lists it as uncharacterized. The record is from RefSeq and is a predicted model, not a curated record. The transcript is spliced from 3 exons. Lineage: Eukaryota; Metazoa; Chordata; Mammalia; Carnivora; Mustelidae.